RNAcentral lists this unclassified non-coding RNA (448 nucleotides) under uncultured fungus. RNAcentral describes it as "partial contains small subunit ribosomal RNA, internal transcribed spacer 1, and 5.8S ribosomal RNA". The stretch from base 1 to 73 matches the Rfam family "Eukaryotic small subunit ribosomal RNA", at positions 1759 to 1831 of the family's 1831-position model. The record is from RNAcentral. Lineage: Eukaryota; Fungi.
GCAAACUUGGUCAUUUAGAGGAAGUAAAAGUCGUAACAAGGUUUCCGUAGGUGAACCUGCGGAAGGAUCAUCAAAGAAAAAGAAAAAUUCUUUUCCAACAACCAACCUCCUCCUCCGCGAGGGGGGGGUUUGGUUUGUUCUUUUCAAAAUUUUUGAGGGAAAAACAAAAAAAAAGGAAAAUGGUAGAUUUCUUUUGCCAGCUGCUGCCCGCUUUUUUAUCCGGAGGGGGGGGCGAACGUGUUCGCUGUUUCCCCCUUUUUUUAAAAAGGAUAUUCUUGCGGGGAAUCUGUCUGUCUGUCUACCUUGUCCAUUAUUAUUAUUGUUUUUUUUUGUGUGGUUUUUAUAUGGUUUGAAUUUUUUUUCUCUCUUUGAGAGGGAAAAAAAGGAAAAUCUUUAGACAACUUUUAACAAUGGAUCUCUUGGUUCUCGCAUCGAUGAAGAACGCAGC